AAGACUAUACUUUCAGGGAUCAUUUCUUUAGUUCUUGACUUGAGAAAUGUGUUUCUACAAGGUUUGGUCUCGCUGCCCACGAUGAAGAGUUAAGAUGUUUCUUUCAGAGCAGGAAACUGGUGAGAAGACUCUGUUUCUUCUCCACUGUUGAUGAUUGUUUGGUGUUUCAGAAUGAAACACUAAUAGAAGAAACAUAUUCUGAGUGGA
RNAcentral lists this small nucleolar RNA (207 nucleotides) under Lates calcarifer (barramundi perch). RNAcentral's name for it is "Small nucleolar RNA U3 (ENSLCAG00010005817.1)". It matches the Rfam family "Small nucleolar RNA U3". From Rfam's summary of the family: Small nucleolar RNAs (snoRNAs) are involved in the processing and modification of rRNA in the nucleolus. There are two main classes of snoRNAs: the box C/D class, and the box H/ACA class. Lineage: Eukaryota; Metazoa; Chordata; Actinopteri; Centropomidae. The record is from Rfam by way of RNAcentral.